GGAGAAGCUCAAGUCAUACAUUCUCCCAUGUUACAUAUAUGUAUUUUCCAGAUAUCAAUCUCCAGCUGUGAAUGGUAGUCUUAGGUGAGAUCUGAAAUUCUAAGAUGUUCCAUCCCUCCUAGAUCUGGGAUCUAAUUUGGGAGGGGCCUUGGCAUGGCCUGAAAGUCUUUGCAGAGUGGCUGUUGCCACCUCUGAAGAGUUUUCUGGAAGUUUUGGUCAAAAAUGAAAUAGAACCAUAUUCAGAUGUAAUCUUUGGUUUCCAACUCUUCAGCUCUGUGGCCUUGGUGAGAUGAGUUAGACUGCAGUAGUUUGCCCCAGAAGCCUAUUAAUAUAAACCUUAUCUGAAACAAGCCCAUUAUUCUGAAAAGGCUUGUCAUUUUAUAUUCAAUCAUUGCUGCUGGCUCUUCCUUUGCACCUAACUGUCUCAUCUGGUUAUGUACGUGUACGUACAUCUGAGAGGUCACCUACAAAGAACUGACAUAACUUGGUUUUGCAUUUGAACUGCAAGGUUACACGCUUUGUUGCUCCCAUAGGCUGUAUUUCAUUGCACUUGAGAGGAUGUUUGCAUUCCAGUACUUUCUUUUUUCUUACCAUCCCCUUUUUCAGAGCAUGUGUCCCGCAGCCACUUGGCAGGGGAUGUGGGUGUUGUCCUUUCCCAUGUAGCAGCCUCUUGCUAUAUGGGAAAGUACUUGAAAUACGGGGAGGCCACCAGUAUUUUUUCCUCCCUGUUCCAUUCUACCAGGAGUUCUGAUGUCUCCCAUACUGGCCAGUUUCACCCUACUUCAUUUUGCCUUUCAUAGUGUCACUUUUAAAAGUGUGUCAGAAGACCAUCUGGGAAGGAGAGGAGCAUUAAGGUCUGCUGGUCUGUCACCUGUACCCCUGCAGAUGUGGCCCAGCCUGCCAACAAGGAAUAUAGAAAGUCAGCCUCCUUGAGCAAGGGAAGACUUGAACAAUCAGAAAGCCUCUUCCUCCCAGCAGGUGUUAUCCUUCCUCCUGCUCUUCUCAGACUGUUUCCAGCAGAUGUACCAAAGGAAUGGGUUUUGGUGGCAGUGUCAAAUGAAGGAAACACCUUCCCUCUCUGCCUCUGCUUCCUUCUUCCAGCUGCAUGCCACCAUGCUGCAGUGUUCACCCAGAUCUUCUGGCAAACCUGUACACCUGUACACAUCUUUGCACAGGGAAGAGAGCUGGGGCAAUCCCAGACAUGUGUAUGGUCUGGGAAAGAACUCAUUGAAAGCAGCCCUGCGGAGGAAGACUCGGGGACAAAAAAAGUUGGACGUGAGUUAGCAGUGUGCACGUGCAGCCCAGAAGGCCAUCUGGGAAUGGCUUUCAGAAGUCUUCAUAGCAUGUUUGUAUGUGAGAGGCAAAUAUCCCUGACAUUACCACGGUAUGGAUAAGGAAGCCUGAAAAGACGGGGCUAGCAGAUGUCACAGCACACCAUGAGUUUAGAAGCACAGAUUCAUUCAUCUUCAGUUGUGUUUCUAGCAAUAGUUCGCAGCAUAAGAAGGAAGUUACCUGCUCUUAGGCUUCUUAAACCCCAUGAUUUGGCACUCACAUUCAGGCAGUUUUGCUGCAUCAGUUGAAGAUUUGAGUGAAUUUUUAGCCAGAUCAAUCUUCAAAGGGCCAG
Molecule: long non-coding RNA, 1624 nt
Organism: Phasianus colchicus (ring-necked pheasant)
Lineage: Eukaryota; Metazoa; Chordata; Aves; Galliformes; Phasianidae
Source: Ensembl